Molecule: transfer RNA, 76 nt
Filed under: Nitrososphaeria archaeon
Lineage: Archaea; Thermoproteati; Nitrososphaerota; Nitrososphaeria
Description: tRNA-Pro
Rfam family: tRNA
About the family: Transfer RNA (tRNA) molecules are approximately 80 nucleotides in length. Their secondary structure includes four short double-helical elements and three loops (D, anti-codon, and T loops). Further hydrogen bonds mediate the characteristic L-shaped molecular structure. tRNAs have two regions of fundamental functional importance: the anti-codon, which is responsible for specific mRNA codon recognition, and the 3' end, to which the tRNAs corresponding amino acid is attached (by aminoacyl-tRNA synthetases). tRNAs cope with the degeneracy of the genetic code in two manners: having more than one tRNA (with a specific anti-codon) for a particular amino acid; and 'wobble' base-pairing, i.e. permitting non-standard base-pairing at the 3rd anti-codon position.
Source: RNAcentral
GGGGCCGUAGUCUAGCCUGGUCUAGGACACGCGGCUUGGGCCCGCGAGGUCCCCGGUUCAAAUCCGGGCGGCCCCA